GACCUACACUGCUAUGCACCUCAUUAAAAUCCUAUCCAUCAAAAUUUAUGCCAUUAACAAAAUCUAGGACUUGGGUGUCAAUGGCUAAAAAGCAGUUUCGCUAAGUCCUCAGUGGUGUUGCACCAAGAAUAUGGUGGAGUGCUUGAAUCCGUCAUCAGCGUCAACUAUCAAAGUUAGACACUGGUCACCAGUCAUGCACUGCCUCCCAUUCAGAACAUAGUGAGGAUAAGCAGGCCAGACACGAAGUCUGCGGCAGUGGCCAUGAGGGCGACGAUCGGGUGCCCAUGGUGCAGCGCCGAGCUACAGAACACUCCCACGACCUUGCCGCAUCCAGCGGAGAGGGAGCACCGGUAGCAGCUUGUAGGGAUAGACGUGCUCGUGGCCGGGGAUCACCCGGGAAAGCGUUGGUUGGAGGUGCCUGCCGCUUCAGUUGCUUAUAGGAAGGAAUGUACAUGACAAACUUGCUACCGCUGAAGAAUCAUAUGAAUCAACCUAUGUGUUUUCAAGACGUAUGAAACACACGAAAAGACUGAGCCUUCACGUGAAGUUUGCAGGUUUGCAUCAACAAGAGAGAAAUAAGAGGAAUUAGAUUAAUAAGAGUACUAAACAGGGUGGCGGCCGCCAAGGAGCGAAUUGAUCAUCUCACCUUGACGCAAUAGCUUGGUGCAAGUUGGUGGCACUUCUGUAGGUAGUAUUGACUGCGCCACCAAUGCCAAUCCCGUGAAAGCCAGCCUGAAUGAAAGGCACAAGAGGAAACCAGAGACACUAAAUAAGAACAGUCGUCCAUCUAAUGAAGACCUGACCAAACAAAAUCGAAUCUCUGUGUCAGCUUUCUUANNNNNNNNNNNNNNNNNNNNNNNNNNNNNNNNNNNNNNNNNNNNNNNNNNNNNNNNNNNNNNNNNNNNNNNNNNNNNNNNNNNNNNNNNNNNNNNNNNNNCAUGUCACGCCUGCCGGCCCAGAAGGGGAUUAACUUUCACCUGCUGUGGCAUGGCCCUGAACCGAUAGCAAGGAGAACUGAACGGGAGAGUGCCUCCCUGGAUCUUCGCAUCCCCAAGAACGGAUCGUCGUUUCCGUAAGCAGGAGCUCUGUGCUGGUGCCAAUCCAGUGCCACCGGACCGGUGAACCAACCACCACCGCACCUCCCUCUUCCUUUCUCCUCCCCCCCUUGUUAAUGUACAUCCCACCUUGUUAAUCGAAAUCAAAUAAAACUGAUCGCAGAUUGCUCUUCAGAAUUAGAUGCAAAGCCCAGCAUUCAUGUUUACAUAAGAAUAGUGCAGAAAUGCGGAUUAAUAAUUCCCCUAUACAUAUCAUGUCAUGCUAAAUAACUGUAUACAUAUGCAGAUAUUGACUUACGAAAUUCACCAACAAAUCAUGAUAUAGUCUUACAUUUAACAAAAUGGUAAAAGAUAGCAUCAAUCAUAGCUAAUAGCAAUAUAAUAAAUUCUUGUGAAUGAUAGUUUGGCUAUACAUGGAAACCUAAGAUCAGAUUAACUCGUGACGGAAGAAGGCGUUGUAGCAACAUAAUAAUUAAAAUCCAUCGGAAGAAUAUUUCUGAAAUUACACACUAUGCACAAGCAUAUGGAAAAAGGAUCACUAAACAUCAUGAUCUAGUAAAAGUACAUGAGAGAAAAAACUGAAAAAAUAACAGUCAAUUAUUUUAUAGAACUUCCCUUUGUUCUUCAAAACAAAUGGUAACAAUCAUGAUGCCAUAUUAGAGCUUAUUCAGGACAUCUUUUUUUACUAAAGGGAGUAGUAUGUUUCAGCAAAAGUGUCAAACUAUGUCUACACAUUUUACAUACAAUUAUCUCUGUCAUCUGGACCUACACUGCUCUGCACCUCAUUAAAAUCCUAUCCAUCAAAAUUUAUGCCAUUAACAAAAUCUAGGACUUGGGUGUUAAUGGCUAAAAAGCAGUUUCGCUAAGUCCUCAGUGGUGUUGCACCAAGAAUAUGGUGGAGUGCUUGAAUCCGUCAUCAGCGUCAACUAUCAAAGUUAGACACUGGUCACCAGUCAUGCACUGCCUCCCAUUCACAACAUAGUGAGGAUAAGCAGGCCAGACACGAAGUCUGCGGCAGUGGCCAUGAGGGCGAUGAUCGGGUGCCCAUGGUGCAGCGCCGAGCUACAGAACACUCCCACGACCUUGCCGCAUCCAGCGGAGAGGGAGCACCGGUAGCAGCUUGUAGGGAUAGACGUGCUCGUGGCCAGGGAUCACCCGGGAAAGCGUUGGUUGGAGGUUCCUGCCGCUUCAGUUGCUUAUAGGAAGGAAUGUACAUGACAAACUUGCUACCGCUGAAGAAUCAUAUGAAUCAACCUAUGUGUUUUCAAGACGUAUGAAACACACGAAAAGACUGAGCCUUCACAUGAAGUUUGCAGGUUUGCAUCAACAAGAGAGAAAUAAGAGGAAUUAGAUUAAUAAGAGUACUAAACAGGGUGGCGGCCGCCAAGGAGCGAAUUGAUCAUCUCACCUUGACGCAAUAGCUUGGUGCAGAUUGGUGGCACUUCUGUAGGUAGUAUUGACUGCGCCACCAAUGCCAAUCCCGUGAAAGCCAGCCUGAAUGAAAGGCACAAGAGGAAACCAGAGACACUAAAUAAGAAC
Molecule: long non-coding RNA, 2594 nt
Filed under: Triticum aestivum (bread wheat)
Lineage: Eukaryota; Viridiplantae; Streptophyta; Magnoliopsida; Poales; Poaceae
Description: long non-coding RNA (TAES_LNC007055)
Source: RNAcentral